AUGAAGCAUGAGUCCAUUCAUCGGUGGUGCUUCAUUUCCAAGGGGGCAGGGCUCUUGGAGCUCUACAAAAGGAACCUCUGUCUCUCAGCUCUUCACUCGUUGACUUGAAUCUCCAUUGAGCUGACAAGUUCUGACUGCUGUACAAGCUUCACUCCCUCAAAAUGUCCUGUUGUGGAGGCCAGAGUUCCCGCUGCUCCAGGUGUGGCUGCUCCCCCUGCUGCUGUCAAAGCCGUCAAGUCUGUUCCAGAUGUGGCUGCUCUCCCUGCUGUUGCCACAGGCGUAGCUGUUGUUCCAGAUGUGGCUCCUCUCCCUGCUGCUGCCAAAGUCGUCAAGCCUGUUCCAGAUGUGGCUGCUCCCCCUGCUGCUGCCACAGGCGUAGCUGCUGUUCCAGAUGUGGCCGCUCUCCAUGUUGCUGCUCUAGCCAGGGCUCUUGCAACCAGUCUCGCUAUACUUUCCAGCAGUACAAGUUCUGAGCACUUUAGAAAUUGUCAACUGGGCUCUGGAUCUGAAGCUUGACAGCAAUCCUAACACCCAGAAGUGGAUGCCAGCUUGCUGUUUGCCAGCUCAAAACCUGAGAUAUUGAGAUCAAUGUCAAAAAAUAUGUAUUUCAUGCCUGCUUGUUGCCUUCCUGAGUUGCCUUCAUUGAGGCUGAUUCUUCUAGCCUCAUUCCCGCAACCUUUAGGAAACUGGAAUUCUUCUCUUCAAUCAGUCUCAAAAAUCCAGAUGAAAUUGUCUUUUUUCUGCAAAUAGAUGGUGCUUUCAUUUUCUCCAUGGUGUCUGGGAUAUGAAUGAAUAAAUCUGAAUUCAUG
Lacerta agilis (Sand lizard) is the source of this 809-nucleotide long non-coding RNA. RefSeq lists it as uncharacterized. NCBI's taxonomy places the organism in Eukaryota, Metazoa, Chordata, Lepidosauria, Squamata, Lacertidae. The record is from RefSeq and is a predicted model, not a curated record. The transcript is spliced from 2 exons.